AAACCACCUGUAACUCUGGCCAGGCAUCCACGCUGACACAGCACAGUCCUACAAAACCACCUGUAACUCAGGCCAGGCGUCCACGCUGACACAGCACAGCCCUACAAAACCACCCACAACUCAGGCCAGGCACCCACGCUGACACAGCACAGUCCUACGAAACCACCCGUAACUCAGGCCAGGCGUCCACGCUGACACAGCACAGUCCUACAAAACCACCCACAACUCAGGCCAGGCACCCACGCUGACACAGCACAGCCCUACAAAACCACCCGUAACUCAGGCCAGGCGUCCACGCUGACACAGUACAGUCCUACAAAACCACCCGUAACUCAGGCCAGGCGUCCACGCUGACACAGCACAGUCCUACAAAACCACCCACAACUCAGGCCAGGCACCCACGCUGACACAGCACAGCCCUACAAAACCACCCACAACUCAGGCCAGGCGUCCACGCUGACACAGCGCAGUCCUACGAAACCACCCGUAACUCAGGCCAGGCGUCCACGCUGACACAGCACAGUCCUAGGAAACCACCCGUAACUCAGGCCAGGCGUCCACGCUGACAGCAUAGUCCUACGAAACCACCUGUAACUCAGGCCAGGCGUCCACGCUGACACAGCGCAAUCCUACAAAACCACCCGUAAUUCAGGCUAGGCGUCCACGCUGACACAGCUGUACCAUCCCGUCAGUUGUCA
This 698-nucleotide long non-coding RNA is filed under the name Homo sapiens (human). RNAcentral's name for it is "non-protein coding lnc-SLC26A1-1:1". The record is from RNAcentral. Lineage: Eukaryota; Metazoa; Chordata; Mammalia; Primates; Hominidae.